GGCGGUGGCUGAGUUGGGACCCUAGCAGAGGAGGCUAGGGUUCAUAAGUUUUUUUUUUGUUGUAAAUGUAGCAGAAAGUGGAAAUUUUUUUAAAGGAAAAUGUUGGCUUUAUAUUGAAAUCAAAGCAGCGUCGUUUGGAAGGGGGUGGGAUCUGCGCGUCGACCUGACCCGGACCGAGGAUCCGCGCAUUUCUUUAAAAUGGGCCAUUUGCGCAAUUGGUCCUCUAUUUUUUGGGGGUGUUUAAAUCAUUUUUUUAUUUUUUUAAAUUUGGCCACAUAUUUUGAUACUGUUUUAAUUUAAUCCAAUGCUGCGCAACGUUUCAAGAGGUUUGGGUAAAUUGCUCGUUCGGUCCUCCUCCUAUUGCGCGUGUUUUAAAUUGCUCCCUUUCUUGUUUUUAUUUUUGAAUUCAGCCUUUAAAUUCUAUUUGUUUUCAAUUUAAUCCUUAAU
RNAcentral lists this long non-coding RNA (447 nucleotides) under Gossypium raimondii (Peruvian cotton). RNAcentral describes it as "long non-coding RNA (GRAI_LNC003851)". The record is from RNAcentral. Lineage: Eukaryota; Viridiplantae; Streptophyta; Magnoliopsida; Malvales; Malvaceae.